RNAcentral lists this ribosomal RNA (499 nucleotides) under uncultured bacterium. RNAcentral's name for it is "partial 16S ribosomal RNA". It matches the Rfam family "Bacterial small subunit ribosomal RNA", at positions 30 to 523 of the family's 1533-position model. The record is from RNAcentral.
AUUGAACGCUGGCGGAAUGCUUUACACAUGCAAGUCGAACGGCAGCACGGACUUCGGUCUGGUGGCGAGUGGCGAACGGGUGAGUAAAGUAUCGGAACGUGCCCAGUCGUGGGGAUAACGUAGUGAAAAUUACGCUAAUACCGCAUACGAUCUAUGGAUGAAAGCGGGGGAUCGCAAGACCUCGCGCGAUUGGAGCGGCCGAUAUCAGAUUAGGUAGUUGGUGGGGUAAAGGCCCACCAAGCCAACGAUCUGUAGCUGGUCUGAGAGGACGACCAGCCACACUGGAACUGAGACACGGUCCAGACUCCUACGGGAGGCAGCAGUGGGGAAUUUUGGACAAUGGGCGAAAGCCUGAUCCAGCCAUUCCGCGUGCAGGAUGAAGGCCCUCGGGUUGUAAACUGCUUUUGUACAGAACGAAAAGGUUUCUACUAAUACUAGGAGCUCAUGACGGUACUGUAAGAAUAAGCACCGGCUAACUACGUGCCAGCCGCCGCGGUAA